RNAcentral lists this ribosomal RNA (253 nucleotides) under uncultured bacterium. RNAcentral's name for it is "partial 16S ribosomal RNA". It matches the Rfam family "Bacterial small subunit ribosomal RNA", at positions 524 to 776 of the family's 1533-position model. The record is from RNAcentral.
UACAGAGGGUGCAAGCGUUGUUCGGAAUUAUUGGGCGUAAAGCGCGUGUAGGCGGCUAUGCAAGUCGGGUGUGAAAGCCCUCAGCUUAACUGAGGAAGUGCGCCCGAAACUGCAAAGCUUGAGUACCGGAGAGGAUGGCGGAAUUCCCCAAGUAGAGGUGAAAUUCGUAGAUAUGGGGAGGAACACCGGUGGCGAAGGCGGCCAUCUGGACGGAUACUGACGCUGAGACGCGAAAGCGUGGGUAGCAAACAGG